UACGAAGGGGGCUAGCGUUGUUCGGAAUCACUGGGCGUAAAGCGCACGCAGGCGGAUUGAUAAGUCAGGGGUGAAAUCCCGGAGCUCAACUUCGGAAUUGCCUUUGAUACUGUUAAUCUCGAGUCCGGGAGAGGUGAGUGGAAUUCCUAGUGUAGAGGUGAAAUUCGUAGAUAUUAGGAAGAACACCAGUGGCGAAGGCAGCUCACUGGCCCGGUACUGACGCUCAUGUGCGAAAGCGUGGGGAGCAAACAGG
RNAcentral lists this ribosomal RNA (253 nucleotides) under uncultured bacterium. RNAcentral describes it as "partial 16S ribosomal RNA". It matches the Rfam family "Bacterial small subunit ribosomal RNA", at positions 524 to 776 of the family's 1533-position model. The record is from RNAcentral.